GGAGACCCCGACUUCCCUCACAGAGCUACAGUUGUCAAGAGUGGUGUAACUGUCAAUCCCUCUUCGCAGGGAACUCUGGGAACUGUAGUUCUGUGAGGGGAAUGGGGGCCUC
This is a non-coding RNA of Podarcis lilfordi (Lilford's wall lizard), 112 nucleotides long. NCBI's taxonomy places the organism in Eukaryota, Metazoa, Chordata, Lepidosauria, Squamata, Lacertidae. The record is from the annotation of a GenBank genome assembly.